CAUCAGCUUCCUGAGAAACCUUUACUAUAAUGGAUUGUAAAAAUAACUACUUUAAGGACAAAUUUCUUAAUUGUAAAUGCUGCAAAAUGAAGGAGCUUGUUUGGGUUGAUGCAGGACCCACAGCAAUUAAACAAUUGCUGACGAGUAUAUGUGAUCCAGAUGCACAGGAGGUUAUUCUUGCAACCAGCCUAUUGGACCAGAUGAUCUUGGUACCACCCAGAUCAAUAAACUGGCUCAUCUGAUCUUGUGGCACCCCCUACCCAGGAACUGACUGAGCGCAAGAAGACAGCUUUGACUCCCUAUGAUUUAAUCUCUAACCAAUCAGCACUCCUGGCUCACUGGCUUCCUCCCACCCACCAAAUUAUUCAUAGAAACUCUGAUCCCUGAAUGCUCAGGGAGACUGAUUUGAGUAAUAAUAAAACUCUGGUCUCCCACACAGCUGGCUCCAUGUGAAUUACUCUUUCUCUUGCAGUUCCCCUGUCUUGAUGAAUUGGCUCUGUCUAGGCAGUGGGCAGGGUGAACCCCUUGGGCGGUUACAGUGCUAUGGGACAAAAUUAAGAUUUGGUGGCCAUUGAUGUUGCCUCUGGCCACAUCUCCUCUGGGGAGAAUGUAAAUCAAAAAUAAAAUUGGAACCCUCCCCCACCCCCAACCAUCUUAAUGGACUCCCUUCUUGGCCAGGGCACUAAAAUUUAACCUGAAAGACUGGUCAGGCUGGCCGGCGCGGUGGCUCAUGCGUGUAAUCCCAGCACUUUAGGAGCCCGAGGCAGGUGGAUCGCCUGAGGUCAGGAUUUCGAGACCAGCCUGGCCAACAUAGUGAAACUAAAAAAUACAAAAAAUUGUCUUUACUAAAAAAUACAAAAAAUUAGCUGGGCGUGGUGGUGGGCGCCUAUAAUCCCAGCUACCCAGGAAGCUGAGGCAGGAGAAUCACUUGAACCUGGGAGGCGGAGGUUGCAGUGAGCUGAGAUUGCGCCAUUGUACUCCAGGGCAACAAGAGCGAAACUGUGUCUCAAAAAAAAAAAAAAAAAAAAAAAGAAAGAAAGAAAGACUGGUCAGGCCGUAAUGGGAACUGGGAGUCAGACAGGCUUCAUUAUACCCCUCCAGCAUUAACAUCAACAGACCUUAAGUGUGAUAACAAUUACAGUCUAUUUUCUCUGAAGCUUGCUACCUGGAGGCUUCAUCUGCAUGACAAAACCUUGGUCUUCAUAACCCUUAUCUUAACCCAGACACUCCUUUCUACUGAUAAUAACUCUUUCAACCAAUUGCUAAUCAGAAUAUGUUUAAAUCUACCGAUGACCUGGAAGCACCUUGCCUUUGAGUUGUCCCACCCUUCCAGAUCAAACCAAUGUAAAUUUUACAUGUGUUGACUAAUGUAUUAUGUCUCCCUAAAACGUACAAAAGCAAGCUGUACCCGGACCACCUGGCCUCAGGACCUCCUGAAGUCUGUUUCACUGGUGCGUCUUUAAUCUUGGCAAAAUAAAAUUUCUAAAUUGACAGAGACUUGUCUCUGAUAUUUUGAGUUCACAAAGGUGAUAUUGUUGGCCAAAUGUGCCUCUUACUAUUUUUUUCUUUUCAAUAGCUUCUGCUUAUGUCUGUCACUGCUUCUUUUGCUACUACUAAUUAUUUUAGGUGAACUCAGACUAGUUUUACUUCUGGAUAGUGAUGUGAAAACUGAGAUUAUCAGAAGUCUGCUCUCUGAUUCUUGCUUUACUUGGACUAGACCUUUUUUAGACACCAUAGUAUUGUACAUUAAUCUCCACUAGUAUAAACUUCGUGAGUCAGGAACACAUCCCCAGAGCCCUGGCACAAAAAGAAAUCUUGAUAAAUAUUGUAAAAUGAAUGAAUUUACUUUGUGACAUUUCAAGUUUCUUGAGGACAGAAACAGUGUCUUACUCCUUAUGUCCCUUUAAAAUUUAAUAUAUUUUAAAAUAUUUGAGUAAUUUUUUGAAUAGGAUAUAUAUAUCAUAUGUAUAUCAUACAUGGCACAAAUAUGUGUGUGUGUAUAUGUAUUUGUGCUAUAUAUAUAUAUUUGUGCUCUCUCUCUAUAUAUAUAGAGAGAGAGCACAAAUUUGCAAAGGUACAAAGAGGUAUACGGUGAAACAGGAAACAGGAAUCCCUGUCCACCAGCCACCCAGCUGAGAAACCCUCCUGGAGCGAACAUCAUUAUUCAUUUUUUGGUGUCUCUUUCCAGAAAUGUUCUGUGCAUGCACAAGUAUUUACAUACAUAUCUUCAAAUGCAAAUGGUAGUAUACUUUCUAGAUACUUUUUUACAUUGCAUUUAACAUUAGAACAUGUAGAGCAGCCUCGUUCCUUUUAAAGACUGCAAAGUAUUCGGAAUGGACAUACCACAUUUAAAAAAAACUAGUCUUCUAUUGAUGGACCUUUAUAUUGUUUCCAAAGUUUUGCUGUUUUGGAAAAUGCUACUGUGAAUUUCCUUGUUUGUUGCUUUACAAAUUGGCAGAUUUAUCUGUAGAAUAAAUUCCUACAAGUGCAAUUGCCGGCUUAAAGGGUACUAUGUGUGUUUUACGUAUUGAGAGAUAUUGGCAAAUUGGCCUUAAAGAGUUCUAUUGACUAUUUAUAGUUCUACUAAUGAUUUAUACAGUAUUUUGUUAACACGGCCUUUUGGUCUGGAAAUAAUUACACUGUAAGACAGUACAGUUGAAAUAUCAAAGAAAUUAAAACAAAGUUAGGUAUGUCAUAAAUAUAUGAAAUAUGUGUAGACACUAGUCCAUUUUAUCAUUUGCUACCAUAAAAUAUGCACACAUCUGUUAUACAAAGUUAAAAUUUAUCAAAACAUAUAAACACAGAACAUGCAUAGCAUAAUUUGUGGUUGAGAAAUGUAAACAAGUGUAAAGAUGCAGUAUUAUUACGCAUAUAAUAACUGUAGUCCAUGCUGUACUACUGUAAUAAUUUUGUAGCCACCUCUUGUUGCUGUUGUGACUCACUCAGUGUUGACACUCAUCACCUUCUUGUGAACAGUUCAUCUCUUCAGUAAAUUGUGUUUUAACAUUAAAAAGUGAUCUCUCGC
This 3025-nucleotide long non-coding RNA is filed under the name Homo sapiens (human). RNAcentral describes it as "non-protein coding lnc-OTP-2:1". Lineage: Eukaryota; Metazoa; Chordata; Mammalia; Primates; Hominidae. The record is from RNAcentral.